RNAcentral lists this ribosomal RNA (253 nucleotides) under uncultured bacterium. RNAcentral's name for it is "partial 16S ribosomal RNA". It matches the Rfam family "Bacterial small subunit ribosomal RNA", at positions 524 to 776 of the family's 1533-position model. The record is from RNAcentral.
UACGUAGGGUGCAAGCGUUGUCCGGAAUUAUUGGGCGUAAAGAGCUCGUAGGCGGUCUGUCGCGUCGGCUGUGAAAACUCGGGGCUCAACUCCGAGCUUGCAGUCGAUACGGGCAGGCUAGAGUUCGGGAGGGGAGACUGGAAUUCCUGGUGUAGCGGUGAAAUGCGCAGAUAUCAGGAGGAACACCGGUGGCGAAGGCGGGUCUCUGGGCCGAUACUGACGCUGAGGAGCGAAAGCGUGGGGAGCGAACAGG